GACGGCUGUGGACCACGGGCCGGACUUGUCGUCGUGGUUGAUGGCCGCACCUGGAACGAAUAGGUGGUGUUUGGUUCCAGUCCGACAACGGUCC
RNAcentral lists this transfer RNA (94 nucleotides) under Acidimicrobiales bacterium. RNAcentral's name for it is "tRNA-His". Lineage: Bacteria; Bacillati; Actinomycetota; Acidimicrobiia; Acidimicrobiales. The record is from RNAcentral.